UACGGAGGGGGCUAGCGUUGUUCGGAAUUACUGGGCGUAAAGCGCACGUAGGCGGCUUUGUAAGUUUGACGUGAAAGCUCCCGGCUUAACUGGGAGAGGUCGUUGAAGACUGGAAGACUUGAGGCAAUGAGAGGGGUGUAGAAUUCCCGGUGUAGUGGUGGAAUGCGUAGAUAUCGGGGGGAAUACCAGUGGCGAAAGCGGCACCCUAGCGUUAGCCUGACGCUCAUGUGCGAAAGCGUGGGGAGCGAACGGG
Molecule: ribosomal RNA, 253 nt
Filed under: uncultured bacterium
Lineage: Bacteria
Description: partial 16S ribosomal RNA
Rfam family: Bacterial small subunit ribosomal RNA
Source: RNAcentral